GCCUCCGUAGGUCACGGCAGACCACCUGAAAAUUGUGGAACCUGAAGGUAUACAGAUAUUUCUUCAGGAGGUGUGGGUUCGAUUCCCACCGGAGACA
Mycena galericulata is the source of this 97-nucleotide non-coding RNA. NCBI's taxonomy places the organism in Eukaryota, Fungi, Basidiomycota, Agaricomycetes, Agaricales, Mycenaceae. The record is from the annotation of a GenBank genome assembly.